RNAcentral lists this non-coding RNA (168 nucleotides) under bovine gut metagenome. RNAcentral describes it as "Lysine riboswitch". It matches the Rfam family "Lysine riboswitch aptamer". Rfam says of the family: Riboswitches are metabolite binding domains within certain messenger RNAs that serve as precision sensors for their corresponding targets. The record is from RNAcentral.
AGAUAGAGGACGCGUUGUGUCAUCAGUAACUCCGCCCAGGCGAUGCAGAGCCGGCGGGGCGAAAGGGGCAGACGCCGAAGGGAACGAUCCGCUGCAUGGGACGCUGCCCUGGGAGGACGAAAUAAGAUUCGUUCGACUGUCGCAAAAGAAAUUUGCGGAGAGCUAUCC